GUGGGGAAUAUUGGACAAUGGGCGAAAGCCUGAUCCAGCCAUGCCGCGUGUGUGAAGAAGGUCUUCGGAUUGUAAAGCACUUUAAGUUGGGAGGAAGGGCAGUAAGUUAAUACCUUGCUGUUUUGACGUUACCGACAGAAUAAGCACCGGCUAACUUCGUGCCAGCAGCCGCGGUAAUACGAAGGGUGCAAGCGUUAAUCGGAAUUACUGGGCGUAAAGCGCGCGUAGGUGGUUUUGUAAGUUGGAGGUGAAAUCCCCGGGCUCAACCUGGGAACUGCCUCCAAAACUGCAUGACUAGAGUACGGUAGAGGGUAGUGGAAUUUCCUGUGUAGCGGUGAAAUGCGUAGAUAUAGGAAGGAACACCAGUGGCGAAGGCGACUACCUGGACUGAUACUGACACUGAGGUGCGAAAGCAUGGGGAGCAAACAGGAUUAGAAACCCUUGUAGUCC
Molecule: ribosomal RNA, 450 nt
Filed under: uncultured bacterium
Lineage: Bacteria
Description: partial 16S ribosomal RNA
Rfam family: Bacterial small subunit ribosomal RNA
Source: RNAcentral